GACGAACGCUGGCGGCGUGCUUAACACAUGCAAGUCGAACGCUGAAGCUUGGGUGCUUGCAUCUGGGUGGAUGAGUGGCGAACGGGUGAGUAAUACGUGAGUAACCUGCCCUUGACUCUGGGAUAAGCCUGGGAAACUGGGUCUAAUACUGGAUACUACAUUCUCUCGCAUGGGGGUGUGUGGAAAGGGUUUUACUGGUUUUGGAUGGGCUCACGGCCUAUCAGCUUGUUGGUGGGGUAAUGGCCUACCAAGGCGACGACGGGUAGCCGGCCUGAGAGGGUGACCGGCCACACUGGGACUGAGACACGGCCCAGACUCCUACGGGAGGCAGCAGUGGGGAAUAUUGCACAAUGGGCGAAAGCCUGAUGCAGCGACGCCGCGUGAGGGAUGACGGCCUUCGGGUUGUAAACCUCUUUCAGCACGGAAGAAGCGAAAGUGACGGUACGUGCAGAAGAAGCGCCGGCUAACUACGUGCCAGCAGCCGCCGUAA
RNAcentral lists this ribosomal RNA (490 nucleotides) under uncultured bacterium. RNAcentral describes it as "partial 16S ribosomal RNA". It matches the Rfam family "Bacterial small subunit ribosomal RNA", at positions 28 to 523 of the family's 1533-position model. The record is from RNAcentral.